AUUGAACGCUGGCGGCAGGCCUAACACAUGCCAGUCGAACGGUAACAGGGAUCAGCUUGCUGAUUCGCUGACGAGUGGCGGACGGGUGAGUAAUGUCUGGGAAACUGCCUGAUGGAGGGGGAUAACUACUGGAAACGGUAGCUAAUACCGCAUAACGUCGCAAGACCAAAGAGGGGGACCUUCGGGCCUCUUGCCAUCGGAUGUGCCCAGAUGGGAUUGGCUAGUAGGUGGGGUAACGGCUCACCUAGGCGACGAUCCCUAGCUGGUCUGAGGGGAUGACCAGCCACACUGGAACUGAGACACGGUCCAGACUCCUAAGGGAGGCAGCAGUGGGGAAUAUUGCACAAUGGGCGCAAGCCUGAUGCAGCCAUGCGGCGUGUAUGAAGAAGGCCUUCGGGUUGUAAAGUACUUUCAGCGGGGAGGAAGGGAGUAAAGUUAAUACCUUUGCUCAUUGACGUUACCCGCAGAAGAAGCACCGGCUAACUCCGUG
This 490-nucleotide ribosomal RNA is filed under the name uncultured bacterium. RNAcentral's name for it is "partial 16S ribosomal RNA". It matches the Rfam family "Bacterial small subunit ribosomal RNA", at positions 30 to 507 of the family's 1533-position model. The record is from RNAcentral.